AGAAAAUUUAACAAGGGGUUCAUUUUAAGUCGUAUUUGUGGUGAAAAAAAUUGAGUGACUUUUGUAAAAAGUCUUCUUUUUUAAGAAUUUUAGUAUCAAAGUUUGAAAGCAUCACCAUUAACCCCACUCCACUCAGAAUUGUUUUUCGUUGGCAAUGGUUACAAUGCGUUGGCAACGCAUGCAGAUAAACAUUAAAUUUCCUCUCUACCUUCCCAAUUUAUCAUCUAUAACAGUGGCCCACCCAUCGUGUAAAGUAUGUCUGUCCUAUUAUUUCUAUUACGGUUUUAAUGGCAUUAGUGGUAUGAACGGAUAUUAUUAAUUAUAAUAUAUCGUAGCGAUAUUUUUAUAAAUAUUUCAUAUUUUAAAAUAUAACGCAGUAUACCCGUGAUUUUUCACUGAAUACAAUGAAUGUUUCGAAGGUUUUUAUUUCUCAUGCAGUUUAAUUUUCCACGUCCUUUUGAGAUAGAAACAAAUUAACGAAAUUCGAUAAUUCAACAAACUCGUCAAGUGAAAAAAUUCGCAAUUGUUUGUAACAACUUAUAACCUAUACGAGAGACCGAAAAAAAAUACCUAAUUGAAAGAAGUACAUUAUUAACUUCCGUUCUCAAAAAAACAAAAUUAUACACAUAUUAUCCAUUUCGAUUUUCCGAGACUCGUGAAAGACUCCAAAAAUAAAAUUUCACUAGACUGGGUUCCUAUAAAAUAUUGCAAUUGCAUUUCAACGAAAAAUUAAAAUUGUUGUUGUUCUGGGACAAUGACUUCCAAAGAAAUAGUGGCCCAAAGUAUUUUUAUUUGUUCACAGGAUUAAAAAAGGUCAUAAUAUUUUUUUACUAUAUCCAC
Non-coding RNA from Cinara cedri, 840 nucleotides. Lineage: Eukaryota; Metazoa; Arthropoda; Insecta; Hemiptera; Aphididae. The record is from the annotation of a GenBank genome assembly.